RNAcentral lists this ribosomal RNA (252 nucleotides) under uncultured Bacteroidales bacterium. RNAcentral's name for it is "partial 16S ribosomal RNA". It matches the Rfam family "Bacterial small subunit ribosomal RNA", at positions 524 to 776 of the family's 1533-position model. The record is from RNAcentral. Lineage: Bacteria; Pseudomonadati; Bacteroidota; Bacteroidia; Bacteroidales.
UACGGAGGGUGCAAGCGUUACUCGGAAUCACUGGGCGUAAAGAGCGCGUAGGCGGGAUAGCAAGUCAGCGGUCAAAGCCCGGGGCUCAACCCCGGCCCGCCGUUGAAACUGGCAGUCUCGAGUUGGAGAGAAGUAUGCGGAAUGCGCGGUGUAGCGGUGAAAUGCAUAGAUAUCGCGCAGAACUCCGAUUGCGAAGGCAGCAUGCCGGCUCCACACUGACGCUGAGGCACGAAAGCGUGGGUAUCGAACAGG